This 1038-nucleotide ribosomal RNA is filed under the name Triticum aestivum (bread wheat). Its description in RNAcentral is "partial small subunit ribosomal RNA". The record is from RNAcentral. Lineage: Eukaryota; Viridiplantae; Streptophyta; Magnoliopsida; Poales; Poaceae.
AUGGUGAACUUGAUCGAGGCGCAGAAGCCGCUGCUGACGGGGAUGAUGAGGCUGGCCGGGCUCCGCCCCAUCGACGUGGAGCUGGAGCCGGGCACCACCAUGCACGUCUGGGCUCCCAAGCACCACGCCGGCAAGAAAGGCACCACCAUCAGCCCGCACGACGCCAGCGCCGCCGCCGCCGCCGCAGGGGAAGACGCCGCCGCCACCAAGAAGCCAUCAGGCGGCCCUCGCGGGAGCAGGAGGAGGAAGGGCCCCGAGGCCAAGCCCAACGUGGUCCUCAUCCACGGCUUCGCCGCCGAGGGCAACGUGACGUUCCAGUUCAACUUCGGCGUGCUGGUGUCGCGCUACAACGUGUACAUCCCGGACCUGCUCUUCUUCGGCAAGUCGUCCACGACGGACAGCGCCGACCGGUCCCCGGAGUUCCAGGCGCGGUGCGUGGCGGCGGCGCUGGCGCGGCUCGGCGUGGCGCGCUGCGACGUGGUCGGGUUCAGCUACGGGGGCAUGGUGGCGUUCAAGCUGGCGGAGGCGCGGCCGGACCUGGUGCGGUCGCUGGCCGUGUCCGGGUCCGUGGUGGCCAUGACAGACGCCGUGAACCGGGAGACCAUGGAGCGGCUCGGUGCCGGGUCCUCCGCGGAGCUGCUCAUGCCGGAGACGCUCCAGGGGCUCAAGGCGCUCUUCUCCGUCUCCAUGUACCGGAAGAUGUGGUUCCCGGACAGGAUGUACAAGGACUACCUCAAGGCGAUGUUCACGAAUAGGAAGGAGAGGCUGGAGCUGCUGCAGGGGUUGCUAGACAGCAACAUGGAUGCAAAGAUACCGGCUUUCCAGCAGAAGAUAAUGCUGAUCUGGGGCGAGGAGGACAAGCUUUUCGACAUAGAGCUGGCCAAGAAGAUGAAAGAGCAGCUGGGGGAGAACUGCUACCUGCAGGGCAUCCCCAAGGCCGGGCACCUGCUCCACCUGGAGCGCCCCUGCGCCUACAACCGCCAGCUCGGCAGGUUCCUCGCCUACGUCAACUCCCAGGAAAACCAAGCCACCAGUUGA